Pomacea canaliculata is the source of this 913-nucleotide long non-coding RNA. RefSeq lists it as uncharacterized. The record is from RefSeq and is a predicted model, not a curated record. Lineage: Eukaryota; Metazoa; Mollusca; Gastropoda; Architaenioglossa; Ampullariidae. The transcript is spliced from 3 exons.
GCGGAGACCAUGAAGACUAACCUCGUCAUGACUGUCGUGUAUUUCUGACAGCACUGUUCUGGAUCCCAAUCAGCUGCUGCAUUUCCUGCAUGGACAGGAAAAAGAGAAAACACGUAUCUAAGUACUCGAUGGCACGUGAAGAGGCAACCACUGAAAUAACUUCUUCGGUCGAUUAUAGCCAGUCUUAUAAAAUGCGGUGGGUGAAUCGGGAAGGAUCUUCAGUCGAUCCACCCUCACUACCGUAAAGUCCAACGCCUGCCAAACGCCAAUGAACGGGAUGUGGACAAGAAUAAAAUAAGUCCAUCAGUACUGUAAGAAACAGUAUUAACAAGAAAUAUUUCAAAGUCUGGCCUAAACCGACAGACUAAAUAAGACCUAAAAUAUAUUUUGUCUUUUCUGAUCAAAGACUAUUACUUUAUAAAAUGUCGCAAAUACCACCGAAGAAUAUAACAUUUCUUAAAUUACAUAUUUAAGACUUGUUUCUAUAACUUAACACUGUCUUAAAGAAGCAAAUUAAAUUCCAAUGCUUUUAAACAAGCCGCUAGGAAACAUGUCCUGACGAGGCUAACAGUAUACAUCGAGUUUUAUCUCAGCAAAAAAAUAUAGAUAAAAAGUUUAUAAAUUUUUGUGUGCACAGCGUUUCUAUGAAAUGGAUUAUUUAAAUAGGUUUAACGCCUUUAUUUAAGUAUUAGCUCGUUUCAGUUUGACUUGUUUCUUUGGAAUGUAUUUAAAAACAAUUCUGGUUGUUCAAGCACAUGACGCUGGACACUGAACUAUUUCGAAGUAAGAAGUGUUUAUAUACAUUGCCACAGACUGAUUACAAAACUACAUUUUCAAUAUGAACAAUUAGCUCAUUGACAAUAUAUUUUAAAUUUGUUCUUUAGUAGUUUAGACGGAUUUGAAAAGUUUCUUU